GAUGAACGCUGGCGGCGUGCCUAAUACAUGCAAGUCGAGCGAACGGACUUGAUGCUUGUUUCUCUGAUAUUAGCGGCGGACGGGUGAGUAACACGUGGAUAACCUACCUUUAAGACUGGGAUAACUUCUGGAAACCGUAGCUAAUACCGCAUAAUAUUUUUAACCACAUGUUUUAAAAUUGAAAGACGCUCUUGCUUUCACUUAUAGUUGUAUCCCCUCUUCAUUAGCUAGUUGGUAAGUUAACGGCUUACCAAGGCAACGGUCCUUAGCCGCCCUGAGAGGGGGAUGGGCCAAACGGGAACUGAAAAACGGUCAAAACUCCUAGGGAAGGAAGAAGUAGGGAAUCUUCCGCAAUGGGCGAAAGCCGGACGGAGAAAGGCGGCGUGGGUGAUGAAGGUCUUGGAAUCGUAAAACUCUGUGAUAGGGGAAGAAGAUAGGUGGAAGUGAAAGUGCACAAAGUGACGGUAACUAAUCAGAAAGCCACGGCUAACUACGUG
RNAcentral lists this ribosomal RNA (497 nucleotides) under uncultured bacterium. Its description in RNAcentral is "partial 16S ribosomal RNA". It matches the Rfam family "Bacterial small subunit ribosomal RNA", at positions 28 to 507 of the family's 1533-position model. The record is from RNAcentral.